AGUGAACGCUGGCGGUAGGCCUAACACAUGCAAGUCGAACGGCAGCACAGUAAGAGCUUGCUCUUACGGGUGGCGAGUGGCGGACGGGUGAGGAAUACAUCGGAAUCUACUUUUUCGUGGGGGAUAACGUAGGGAAACUUACGCUAAUACCGCAUACGACCUACGGGUGAAAGCAGGGGAUCUUCGGACCUUGCGCGAUUGAAUGAGCCGAUGUCGGAUUAGCUAGUUGGCGGGGUAAAGGCCCACCAAGGCGACGAUCCGUAGCUGGUCUGAGAGGAUAAUCAGCCACACUGGAGCUGAGACACGGUCCAGACUCCUACGGGAGGCAGCAGUGGGGAAUAUUGGACAAUGGGCGCAAGCCUGAUCCAGCCAUACCGCGUGGGUGAAGAAGGCCUUCGGGUUGUAAAGCCCUUUUGUUGGGAAAGAAAAGCAGCAGGUUAAUACCCCGCUGUUCUGACGGUACCCAAAGAAUAAGCACCGGCUAACUUCGUG
Molecule: ribosomal RNA, 492 nt
Filed under: uncultured bacterium
Lineage: Bacteria
Description: partial 16S ribosomal RNA
Rfam family: Bacterial small subunit ribosomal RNA
Source: RNAcentral